CGACGGAUGAACGCCGGCUCUACGUUCGUCUUCGCGCGAUCCGGCACUUCGCCAACCGGUCCGGUCGGUCUAUGUGAUUACACGUUAUGCGACCAAUAAUUGUGUAGUGUUAUCCGGACCACUAAAAGCCUUUCAGAAUCGUGAACCUAGUGCUUCGCUAUCGAAUAUACGGACUAAGUUCUAAAGUUAAGUGCGUUCUCAAAUACAUUUUUGUGAAGUGCAAGUUUAUUUGAGAAGUUUCUAUUACUACUCAGUGUUUUGUAUUUGUUAGUGACAGAGGGAGUUUACACGAAAUUUCGUGAUUUGACGUAUCGAGUCCAGUUUGCUUUUGAUGACAAGUUCUUAAGUGGAAGUUUGAAAUAACUCAUUUACGUUCAAACUUUACUUCGUCAAGUAUUUCAAGUGUUGGAGUUUUAGAAACCGAAGCUAUAUUGUAUGACUGCAGUUUUACAGAUAAAGCGCUUCGUGGUGUCAUUUAAAGAUGUCGUAAGGAAUCAAUUGGAUAUGAGACGAUGAGCCAUGGAAUCGCGAAGCGCGCCGCCAAGCCCCGACGAGGCGGGGGAGGCGGUGUACGAGUCCCGCUGCGGCCGCUACCAGCCUUCGCUGCAGAGGACUUUCGCCAGCUGCCGCGAGACCGGCCGUCCACGCCCGAAUCACCGCCAUGCCACCUCAGAACCUGCAAGGCCGGACGACCGCGUUCUUACUACAGCCGAGGUUCACGAUUACCCUUCGUCCGAGUCCGGCAUCGCCGCCGACUGUCCUCACCCUCACACCAGCAACGCUGACGACAGUCCCUCCUACGACCGAUCGGACUAUGAAGGGAAUUCGAGCUAUAGUCUUAGGCGAACUCCCGAUUAUCACCACAAUCUUGACUGUAAGCACCGUACUAUGGAUUACCGCAGUCACACCCCUGACUACAAUCAUGAACACACAUCGGACUGUGAUCGUGCACACGGACGAGCACAAACGUCUCGACGCCCGCACAGAAAACAUCGAAGAGAAGAAGACGAUGGUGCGCAGUCCCUUGACGAGCGAUGUGCUCGAGAUCUCGACGAAAUCCUGCCAGCCAGAUUGGCAGCAGUCAAUUUAUCAAGGGAACAACCUCCACAAACAUGGAAUAGGAGCAAUAUCGCGGCAACAAUGGAGAGAUUUGAACCAGUUGAUUACUCUUACGCUUAUUACGAUCAUCACUUAUCAAUGCCAUCCUCUUCUAGAAAAACGAACCGGCAGCGUGGUCGCGGUGGAAUAUCUCGCGACCGUUCAGCUAGGCACAACUAUGUUACUAGAUAUGGAACCGAAGAAAACAUUUAUGAGGAAAUUACAGAUGGUUCUCGGACAUGUCCGAAACAUCGAUACGUUCCCCGCCAGUCUCUAGUAUCCCUGGACAGGAGUGUAGUCGAGGAGGAAGUUCGUCGAGUUGAAUCAAGACAUAAACGAAUUUUGGGAGAGCUAAAUCUCAGCGUCGAAGCCAUGUUAAUGCCAGAGUGUGAAUCCCCUGACUCGGAGCGAGCGGAAGAUAGAGAUAAUAUCGAAGAAUUAUUGAGGGUAGGUCCAACAGACGAACUACUUUCACCGGCUAGUUGUAAUCCUCCAGAUUUAGAUAGCGGUUUUAGCGGGAGCAGUAGUGGUGCGAGUUAUGUUGGUAGUCUGAGACGAAAACCAACGGGUUCCGUGCCACAUUUACCAGCUGUAGCUUACGGGACACGUGGAGCAGGAGUACGCAUUCUGGGCGCUGAAGAGUGUGGCAUACGCUGUCCCAAAGACACCCCGUCACCCCGAAGUUCCAGUUGCGGCGAUGCUAAAACGAGCGGCUUUUGGAACAAAAAAGCUUGGAAGAAGAUAUCGGGUUUCUCUAGUUCAAAUAGUAUCAACAAAGCUGGCCUUACUGGUCUGCUCGUUAGGUACACUUUCCGGCGUAAGUCCGGCUCGCAGGGCUCUCAGGGCAAGCGGCGUGCCGAGCCCGUCAAAUGCGAUGCGUGCCUCUCACAACGAUGUUAGCCGCAGUAUGAUGAAGCCUGUAGGCCAAGCAGAGCUAAAUCCAGAACAGCUACUAUACCCUACAGCUACUCCAACGGAAAACUGGUGGUGCCGCUGGAUACCCUAGCACAGAGCUGAGGGGUUGAACCCCCUCUCCAUUCCCGCCUCCAACUCCUCCGAAGGCCUUCUCGAAGCAAAAGGGCAGCGCUAAAUAACGUGGUGGCUUAAUACGACUGACACUAAAACCUAAGUGCAUUGACUUUUCUGUGACGUGGGUUAUAAUGAAUAUUCUUAAAUUUUCCCUUCACGGACUUGAAUGAAACAUUCCAAUGACUUUGUUCGGAAAAACACAGUACAGUACGUCUCAAAGACUAUCUGUAGGUGUUUUGUACAGAACCAGUGUAUAUAAAGUGAUGGACAUAAAGGCGAGUAUACGUUGAAGUGAUAGAUGAGCCUAAUAUUUUUAUUGUUACGAACGUUUCAUAGAAACGCAUUGACUACAUUGUUGUUACUUAUCAAUUUUUAGUAGUAAAUAGGUACAACAAAAGGCUGACAGUUGAUCCGAUUUUGUACGUGGUGAGGAAUGGGUGUCAUCUUAGUAAUAGUUUCGUUUUGGACGUAAUUGAUGUUAUUAAUAUGUAUUAUUCAUAAGUUGUGUGUAGAUGAUCUUUCUUAUAUUGAAUAAAUAUAUUAUGGAUGAAUCGACCUUGCUACGUAUUAUCUGUGGUAACAAAACAGCUUUUUACUAACUUAUACUUAAAAUUAAAAUAACGAUACACGCCAAGUUAAUAGUUUUUUAUUUUGCUAAUUACAUCGAUACUUUAGGAAAGAAAAGACGUAAUAUCCAAAUUACAAAGUUUGCAAGGACUUAAAUGUUUUUGUUUCCUUUUUAAAUUUUAUAGCUAUUUUUAAAAAUUUCAACCAACUAUAUCAAUUAAAUUGGACAAAAUUGGAUUUUACGCCUUUUCUGCCUUAUAAGUGUCAUUACGUAAAAUUUAAAAUACGAUACUUUGGAAUACAUGGCAUUAUUAUUUAAAUAAUAAAAAUUCCCAACGAACUUAGGUGUGAACACUAACCUGAAAAUUACCCGUUUAUUGGCUCAGGUCUCGGUCGGCAAAGAGAGCUAGAGGGUUUAUUAGGUCAUAGACUGCGACGCUGGCCUAAUGCAAGUUGGGGAGUUAUUGAUGUAGUUGCGUUACAUUUUCACACUCUUUCGAUCUGUCUACUCAAUGUUUUGUUAUUCGCCAGAAAAUGGCGUUAUUACGUAACGUAAAGAUAUAAUUAAAAAACAACCGUUUACAAAUAUUGAUAUUUACUCGUCUUGUAAACGUUGUGUUUUGACUAUGCUAUUAUUCUUUGAAUCAUCGGUAACUGCAGCUAUGUUACUAAAUUUGACUACUAUAUUUUGUACCAAUAAAUUGUUUUAAAAAUUUCAGCUAAAUUGUGUUAAUACAUUUAUUUUAGUUUCUUAUAUAAUACCGUGUUUUGCGACGUUAAAAGUUGCAUUCCUGGCUAAAUACAAAAAUAUCAGAACGUCCUGCUUGACCUAAUUAUAAUAUAAUUAUCAGUAAUAAUGUAUUAAUAAACUAAAUUUAUCUCCUUUGUACUCUAUAUGGUAUGUAAUUUUCUAGGUAUCCAUUCUGUGCAUUUGUUGAAACCAUAGAUAUAGAAAAAAAGGGUUGAUACUGCCGUGCUUAUUUUGUAGAAAAGCAUAUUAUUUGUGUAACAACGAUUCUGAAA
RNA transcript from Hyposmocoma kahamanoa, 3717 nucleotides. RefSeq lists it as uncharacterized. Lineage: Eukaryota; Metazoa; Arthropoda; Insecta; Lepidoptera; Cosmopterigidae. The record is from RefSeq and is a predicted model, not a curated record. The transcript has 6 exons.